This is a long non-coding RNA of Peromyscus leucopus (white-footed mouse), 3366 nucleotides long. RefSeq lists it as uncharacterized. The record is from RefSeq and is a predicted model, not a curated record. The transcript is spliced from 3 exons. Lineage: Eukaryota; Metazoa; Chordata; Mammalia; Rodentia; Cricetidae.
AUUUAGUCACAUAGAAAGAGAUUUCAGAAAUGUUGGACCUUGAAGGAUUCUUAUAGAUCACCUUUAUUUUAUGCAUGAAUAACCAAGGACCAGGGAGAGAAGGCCACUUUGUCACCCUCCCAUGGAAAGUUCCCAAACCCGUGCCCUAGCAUUCUUUUUCAGGCGUCUUCAUUUUAGCCACUUUGAUAUGUUUGAGAUAACAGUCCACUUUCCCUUUCUCUCUCUCUCUUUUUUCAUUUCAGUUUCUUUAGAUGACUAGUGGGUAGAGCAAAUUUUUAAUAUUCAACAGCUAUUUGACAUUUAUCUUUAUUCUAAAGAUAAAUCUCUAAAACCUUCAUCAAAUUUAUUGGAUCAUCUGCUUCUCUCUUCUAUGUUUAGGAGUUUCUUACAUAUUCUGUAUAUGAAUUCUUAAAUUUCCCUUAAUGUUGUUUAGUCAUCCGGGACCCAGUGUAUGCAUUGGCAGCCACCCUUGAGGGAAAUGCUCAUCUGCAGGAAGUGUUUGAGGAUAUUUCUUGGGAGUGCUGUUUGUAAAAGUAUACAAUUGGAAAUGCAUAAAUGUAUGUUUGUCUACUCCAGUUUGUCUAAUCCUGAGUGAGUCAGUAAAUUAUGGCCUGCUCACAUAAUGGCAAUAAGAGCAUAAAUGAACUAACUGGUUCUACGUGUUCUCUACAGAGUUGGUGCCAGAAACUAGAGCGUCGAAUAGAAAAAUAGAUAAAAUAAUACACACAGCAUCCGAUGCAGUCAAAUGCUAAUUUACAUUUCGGAGUAAAUACAUAUGAGCUAGAAGUGAAAUAAGAGCGGGCUAAGUACUAUGAGUGAGUGCUGCUCCAGCAAGGAUCAGAGUUCAGUUUCCAGCACCUGUGUCCGCUGGGCCACAGCCAUCUCUUACUCCAUUUCCAAGGAAUCAGGUGCCUCUGGCAUCCUUCAGCUCUGCACUCACAUGCACACACCCCGCCAUUAAAGACAAAUAGAUAUAAUCUUUAAAAAAUGAACAAACAAACAAAAAAAUCCCUCUAAAAUCGUGACUGGAAGAACAUUCUUCCCCCCCUAGGGAAGAAGACAGGAUAAAGGCCGGGUACUCAAUUGGGCCUGUGAUAGGCCUCGUUAAAAGAGAUUUAUGGAAAAUGGAAAGAUGUUAGCACAUGGUGAGUUUGAGCUCUGAGUAAAUGAAUGCCUGUGGCCUUAUUCUGUUUUAUUUGUGUACGAUUAAAUUAUUUCUGAAUAAAAGAAAAUAUAAAAACCUGGCAAAAGAGGUAGAUCAGAACUUUUUCCCAGUCAAACUAACAGAACAUGCACACACACACACACACACACACACACACACACACACAAUUAUACAUGGAACACAUUUAAAUAACUUGCACUAGAAGAGGUGGAAUGCAGGAAAGUUUUAAUGUGAAGGAAGGAUAGAAGCGAAAAUAGCGCAGUGACCAAGAAUGUACAGGAAGGGAUGGAGAGUUGGGGAAGGAAGGAGGCUGAUAAAAUACUCUGCUACCUAGCUUGCCUUGGGAGGUGUUGGAGGGAGAAACACGUCACUGGGAGUCAUAAUCAUUGAUUAAACCUUUAUAAACCAUUUAUAGUAACAUAUUAUAGGAACUGAAAAAAAAAAUCACAUAGGCCAACGUGUCCUUCAUGUUAGUCAUAAGACAAACAAGGCCCAGGAAAACAGAAAGAUAAGUCCGGGCAUUUUAUUUGAGGAUAUCUGUAUCCAGCUAUUCCAGUCAGUGAAUGUACUUGUACUGGCUGACUUUUCAGUUCAUGUGAGUUAUAUGUUUUAGACAGAUGGUUAAAAGGAUACAUAAGUCUUGAUUAGGAAGCAAGGAUAUUGUUGUGACUACAGAAAUGUCACAAUACAGACUAAUGGGUAGCCUCACAGGUAACACCUGUGAAAUGGGUGUCAUUAUGGAGACUCUCAAAGAGGGACACUAGAAUUCAAUUGCUGCUACCUCCCACUUGUGCCUGGGAGCCUCUUGCUUGUUGGCUGAUCAAUAUCGUUCUGGUUACAUCUGUCUUUUAUGACUCCAAUAAAGACUAUCUCAUUAGGUGGCCCAAAGCCAAGAGAUAACUAUGAAGAUCUUCCAUGAAGUUCUUACAAAAGGUGGCCUCAGGUCACCACCACUAAGAUGGAGCACCUUCCAUCUAGGACCUCAGUGCACCUUGCAAAUGUCAUAAAUCUUCAAAGCCCUUCCAUAAUGGAGAUCUCUCAAGAUGCAAGGAGCUGCCGCUGAAAGCACCCAGCAUCACUGGUGGAGCUGGACAGACACCAAGCCUUCCCCAUCAAGAUGCGAUGUGCCCUAGAUACUGUGAGCCCAAUAAACCCCCCGAAGUCACUUCCAUUGGGUGUCUUGUUACAAUGACAAAAGAAGAUAACAAAUGUACUUCCUGUCAGAAUUAGACAUUACGAACUGGAUAUGACUGCAUUUACAUAUGAAGAAUGGAGAGUUUGGGAACAUGAUUUUAAAUACACUACUCAAGUGAUUAUUUUUCCCUAGUCUCUCACAGACAAGAUUUCUCUCACUGAGUUGGAUAGCAGAAAUUAGAAUAGUAGGUCAAGCCUUGGAGGAAGAAGAGACUUAGUGGCCCUUAGGCCAUCUAGCAAGGAUAAUUUUCAUAGAAGAACAGUAGUGGGAUUGAUGACUCACAAUUUCAAUAGCCACAUUUAUCAGACACAUUUUACGUCAAUUGCUUUGAGAUGUAAUAACCCUUGUACUCAUUUGGACAUACAUUAGCAGUUUCCUGUAUUGCUUUCCAGUACCCUAAUACACUGGCUUUGUCUGAAUGACUGGAAAUGAUACUAUAAAACACUAUGGAUAUACUUGUAUUGGUUUUAGAUAGCAGUGGAUUUCCUGAUUCUUGGACCAGUGUUCUGGUGAAUCUCGCUACCACACUACCUCUUGCUGUGUCCUUAUCAGAUUUCAUAAGCUGAGCAGGCUUUGUCUGGGGACGUUUGUGAAUGGCAGUGGUCCAAGGAAAACCAGGUGCUGCAGGAAGUGGAGCUGGUGAUUCAGUCAGGUGCAUUCUUUCUGAUGAUUCAGGCUGACCCACUCACUAAUCACCGUGAGUGGGCAUUCUGCUUUCAGGGGUGCUCAUGAAUAAGAUGUAUGGUAAAGGUCUUAAUCAUUUCUGCUGACAGAAGAGUUUUCAUGGAGAUUUGCUCUAUCUUAUGUUGUCAGAAUUGCAACAGACAGGAUCAAUUCUGCUGUAGCAAUAAAUGCUAAAGGUAAUACCAUUUUAGGUAUGCUAUAUGCUCCACUUCCCAUCUUUGUUCAGCAUGGCAGCAUGGGAUAUGUUACUAAGCACUCAGGGCAUUUUACUUCAGAGCUAAAUUUACAUUUGGCUGUAAAUUUUUUUUUUUAAUUUGUUAAA